RNAcentral lists this ribosomal RNA (449 nucleotides) under uncultured bacterium. RNAcentral describes it as "bacterial SSU rRNA". It matches the Rfam family "Bacterial small subunit ribosomal RNA", at positions 28 to 457 of the family's 1533-position model. The record is from RNAcentral.
GAUGAACGCUGGCGGCGUGCUUAACACAUGCAAGUCGAACGAAGCACUUUACUUGAUCUCCUUCGGGAUUGAUUGUUCUGUGACUGAGUGGCGGACGGGUGAGUAACGCGUGGAUAACCUGCCUCACACAGGGGGAUAACAGUUGGAAACGGCUGCUAAUACCGCAUAAGCGCACAGCACCGCAUGGUGCAGUGUGAAAAACUCCGGUGGUGUGAGAUGGAUCCGCGUCUGAUUAGCUGGUUGGCGGGGUAACGGCCCACCAAGGCGACGAUCAGUAGCCGGCCUGAGAGGGCGACCGGCCACAUUGGGACUGAGACACGGCCCAGACUCCUACGGGAGGCAGCAGUGGGGAAUAUUGCACAAUGGGGGAAACCCUGAUGCAGCGACGCCGCGUGAGCGAUGAAGUAUUUCGGUAUGUAAAGCUCUAUCAGCAGGGAAGAUAAUGACGG